AAUGAGCACAUGACAGAAGAUAUGUUCUGCCAUGAAUUCCAUCUCGUGGAUCUAAGGGUUAUGGAUAAUUGCUUGAAGGUUACAAAGGAUAUAGACCAUGUAUUUAACCUUGCUGCUGAUAUGGGUGGGAUGGGCUUCAUCCAGUCCAACCACUCUGUCAUUAUGUAUAACAACACAAUGAUCAGCUUCAACAUGCUUGAGGC
This 203-nucleotide unclassified non-coding RNA is filed under the name Hevea brasiliensis (rubber tree). Lineage: Eukaryota; Viridiplantae; Streptophyta; Magnoliopsida; Malpighiales; Euphorbiaceae. The record is from RNAcentral.